Molecule: long non-coding RNA, 321 nt
Filed under: Equus caballus (horse)
Lineage: Eukaryota; Metazoa; Chordata; Mammalia; Perissodactyla; Equidae
Description: lncRNA (ENSECAG00000047061.1)
Source: RNAcentral
CCCAGGUGCUGUUCAGCUGACCCAGCAACCCUGUAUUUCCUGGGACCAGCUCUUUAGAUAGAGAAGCUUCAGUAAUGCCAGGUCCGAUUGCUUGGGAAGACUUCCACACGAGUCAGGCAUUUGCUGACUCUUAACACGAAGGAGAGACUGAGCCCCAGGUCCCGGGAAAAAGGCAGAGAGGCCACCAGUUUCUACAAAUCCCACAGGUCUGGAGAGACAAAAACUGGAAUUCAGGAGUGCCAAGUCAGCAAGGUCUAAGGGCCAGAUCCUGGAGAGAAGGUGCAGGGAGUCUGCCCAAUUUUUAAGAUAUGUAAGCAGAAG